RNAcentral lists this transfer RNA (65 nucleotides) under Dipodomys ordii (Ord's kangaroo rat). It matches the Rfam family "tRNA". From Rfam's summary of the family: Transfer RNA (tRNA) molecules are approximately 80 nucleotides in length. Their secondary structure includes four short double-helical elements and three loops (D, anti-codon, and T loops). Further hydrogen bonds mediate the characteristic L-shaped molecular structure. tRNAs have two regions of fundamental functional importance: the anti-codon, which is responsible for specific mRNA codon recognition, and the 3' end, to which the tRNAs corresponding amino acid is attached (by aminoacyl-tRNA synthetases). tRNAs cope with the degeneracy of the genetic code in two manners: having more than one tRNA (with a specific anti-codon) for a particular amino acid; and 'wobble' base-pairing, i.e. permitting non-standard base-pairing at the 3rd anti-codon position. Lineage: Eukaryota; Metazoa; Chordata; Mammalia; Rodentia; Heteromyidae. The record is from Rfam by way of RNAcentral.
GGUGGCUCGGUGGUAGAGUGCUUGCCUUGCAUGCAUGAGACCCUGGGUUCAAUUCCUCAGCACCA